UACGGAAGGCAGCAGUGGGGAAUAUUGCACAAUGGGCGCAAGCCUGAUGCAGCCAUGCCGCGUGUAUGAAGAAGGCCUUCGGGUUGUAAAGUACUUUCAGUCGUGAGGAAGGUGUUAAGGUUAAUAACCUUAGCAAUUGACGUUAGCGACAGAAGAAGCACCGGCUAACUCCGUGCCAGCAGCCGCGGUAAUACGGAGGGUGCGAGCGUUAAUCGGAAUUACUGGGCGUAAAGGGCACGCAGGCGGUUAAUUAAGUUGGAUGUGAAAUCCCCGGGCUUAACCUGGGAAUGGCAUUCAAGACUGGUUGGCUAGAGUCUUGUAGAGGGGGUAGAAUUCCAUGUGUAGCGGUGAAAUGCGUAGAGAUGUGGAGGAAUACCGGUGGCGAAGGCGGCCCCUGGGACAAAGACUGACGCUCAUGUGCGAAAGCGUGGGGAGCAAACAGGGAUUAGAUACC
RNAcentral lists this ribosomal RNA (454 nucleotides) under uncultured bacterium. RNAcentral's name for it is "bacterial SSU rRNA". It matches the Rfam family "Bacterial small subunit ribosomal RNA", at positions 340 to 786 of the family's 1533-position model. The record is from RNAcentral.